UACGUAGGGUGCGAGCGUUGUCCGGAAUUAUUGGGCGUAAAGAGCUCGUAGGCGGCUUGUCACGUCGGGUGUGAAAGCCCGGGGCUUAACCCCGGGUCUGCAUUCGAUACGGGCAGGCUAGAGUGUGGUAGGGGAGAUCGGAAUUCCUGGUGUAGCGGUGAAAUGCGCAGAUAUCAGGAGGAACACCGGUGGCGAAGGCGGAUCUCUGGGCCAUUACUGACGCUGAGGAGCGAAAGCGUGGGGAGCGAACAGG
Molecule: ribosomal RNA, 253 nt
Filed under: uncultured bacterium
Lineage: Bacteria
Description: partial 16S ribosomal RNA
Rfam family: Bacterial small subunit ribosomal RNA
Source: RNAcentral